CGAGUGAAGCGGCAACAGCUCAAAUUUGAAAUCUGGCCCUCUUUGGGGGUCCGAGUUGUAAUUUGUAGAGGAUGCUUUGGCAUUGGCGGCGGUCUAAGUUCCUUGGAACAGGACAUCACAGAGGGUGAGAAUCCCGUACGUGGUCGCCUGCCUUUGCCGUGUAAAGCUCCUUCGACGAGUCGAGUUGUUUGGGAAUGCAGCUCUAAAUGGGAGGUAAAUUUCUUCUAAAGCUAAAUACCGGCCAGAGACCGAUAGCGCACAAGUAGAGUGAUCGAAAGAUGAAAAGUACUUUGGAAAGAGAGUCAAAAAGCACGUGAAAUUGUUGAAAGGGAAGCGCUUGCAGCCAGACUUGCCCGCAGUUGCUCACCUAGGCUUUGGCCUGGGGCACUCUUCUGUGGGCAGGCCAGCAUCAGUUUGGGCGGUUGGAUAAAGGCCUCUGUCACGUAUCUCCCUUCGGGGUGACCUUAUAGGGGAGGCGCAAUGCAACCAGCCCGGACUGAGGUCCGCGCAUCUGCUAGGAUGCUGGCGUAAUGGCUGUAAGCGGCCCGUCUUGAAACACGGACCAAGGAGUCUAACAUCUAUGCGAGUGUUUGGGUGUCAAGCCCGGGCGCGCAAUGAAAGUGAACGGAGGUGGGAACCCUUUGGGUGCACCAUCGACCGAUCCUGAUGUCUUCGGAUGGAUUUGAGUAAGAGCAUAGCUGUUGGGACCCGAAAGAUGGUGAACUAUGCUUGAAUAGGGUGAAGCCAGAGGAAACUCUGGUGGAGGCUCGCAGCGGUUCUGACGUGCA
This 788-nucleotide ribosomal RNA is filed under the name Curreya sp. 795_3_CZ04. RNAcentral's name for it is "eukaryotic LSU rRNA". It matches the Rfam family "Eukaryotic large subunit ribosomal RNA", at positions 90 to 895 of the family's 3401-position model. Lineage: Eukaryota; Fungi; Ascomycota; Dothideomycetes; Pleosporales; Cucurbitariaceae. The record is from RNAcentral.